This 292-nucleotide ribosomal RNA is filed under the name uncultured bacterium. RNAcentral describes it as "partial 16S ribosomal RNA". It matches the Rfam family "Bacterial small subunit ribosomal RNA", at positions 505 to 796 of the family's 1533-position model. The record is from RNAcentral.
GUGCCAGCCGCCGCGGUAAUACGGAGGGUGCAAACGUUGCUCGGAAUCAUUGGGCGUAAAGCGCACGUAGGCGGCCCACCAAGUCGGACGUGAAAGCCCUCGGCUUAACCGAGGAAGGGCGCUCGAUACUAGUGGGCUUGAGUACGGGAGAGGAUCGCGGAAUUCCCGGUGUAGAGGUGAAAUUCGUAGAUAUCGGGAGGAACACCAGUGGCGAAGGCGGCGAUCUGGACCGAUACUGACGCUGAGGUGCGAAAGCGUGGGGAGCAAACAGGAUUAGAUACCCGAGUAGUCC